ACCGGGCAUGGUAGCGCAUGCCUGUAAUCCCAGUGGUUCGGGAGUCUGAGACAGGGGGAUCUGGAGUUCAAAGCCAGCCUCAGCAAAAGUAAGGCACUAAGAAACUCAGUGAGACCCUGUCUCUA
This 125-nucleotide small RNA is filed under the name Marmota monax (woodchuck). Lineage: Eukaryota; Metazoa; Chordata; Mammalia; Rodentia; Sciuridae. The record is from RNAcentral.